GAUGAAGAACGUAGCGAAAUGCGAUAAGUAGUGUGAAUUGCAGAAUUCAGUGAAUCAUCGAAUCUUUGAACGCACAUUGCGCCCUCUGGUAUUCCGGAGGGCAUGCCUGUUCGAGCGUCAUUAAAACUACUCAAGCUAAGGUUUUACCUUCUGCUUGGUCUUGGGUUUGAGGAUUCAAAAUCCUCUCUCCGAAAUCCAGUGGCGAAUUGUUUGAGCUGUAGACGUAGUAAAUCAUUCUACCCGUUGCAAGCGAGAAUAAUAUUCAGCCAUAACCCCCAUACGUUUCUAGUUUGACCUCGGAUCAGGUAGGGAUACCCGCUGAACUUAAGCAUAUCAAUAAGCGGAGGA
This 348-nucleotide unclassified non-coding RNA is filed under the name soil metagenome. RNAcentral's name for it is "partial contains 5.8S ribosomal RNA, internal transcribed spacer 2, and large subunit ribosomal RNA". The stretch from base 1 to 120 matches the Rfam family "5.8S ribosomal RNA", at positions 35 to 154 of the family's 154-position model. The record is from RNAcentral.